RNAcentral lists this ribosomal RNA (442 nucleotides) under uncultured bacterium. RNAcentral's name for it is "partial 16S ribosomal RNA". It matches the Rfam family "Bacterial small subunit ribosomal RNA", at positions 338 to 795 of the family's 1533-position model. The record is from RNAcentral.
CCUACGGGGGGCAGCAGUGGGGAAUAUUGGGCAAUGGGCGCAAGCCUGACCCAGCAACGCCGCGUGAAGGAAGAAGGCUCUCGGGUUGUAAACUUCUUUUGACAGGGAAGAGCAGAAGACGGUACCUGUCGAAUAAGCCAUGGCUAACUACGUGCCAGCGGCCGCGGUCAUACGUAGGUGGCAGGCGUUGUCCGGAUUUACUGGGGGUAAAGGGCGUGUAGCCGGGCUGACAAGUCAGAUGUGAAAUCCGGGGGCUCAACCCCCGAACUGCAUUUGAAACUGUUGGUCUUGAGGAUCGGAGAGGCAGGCGGAAUUCCUAGUGUAGCGGUGAAAUGCGUAGAUAUUAGGAGGAACACCAGUGGCGAAGGCGGCCUGCUGGACGACAACUGACGGUGAGGCGCGAAAGCGUGGGGAGCAAACAGGAUUAGAUACCCUGGUAGUC